ACAGAGGGGCCUGUCAUGGUGUCUCAGGACACACGGAGACACCUUCUGAUUUCCUCUGAGCCUGUGAAACGGGGCCAGUGUUCUGUUUGCGGGAGUGUGAGCUGCCUGCUGAGCACGGUGGCUGACUCAAGAGACAGCCUAUCAACGCCGGCCAUUCACAGGGACGGUGUACACACAACGAUAAUUCUUUCCAGAAAUACCUGCUGAACGUCCGAGACAGGCGAGGCACAGCGCAGGGUGCUGCCCUUGGAGACCUGAGCCCCGCCUUCCUGGAGGAGGUGUACAAGGGGAGAACAACCCACCGCAAAUUAAAGCUAAUGAAACGAAAAGACAGCCACCGAGGAAUGACGCAAAUGCCACUGAAUGCCGAGAUCCAUGGAGAGAUGAGCCUGCGGCUGAUCAGGGCUCCAGCUGUCUCUGUCAUCUUCAAGAUGCUUCCAGCGCCCCGCCCCUCCCGGCCUGUGGCACCUGUGUGGCUCAGCAGCCCUAUUGUCAUUUCCAGUCACAAUUCAAGUUCCUCGGGUUCAGAAAGCAUGCUGUAACCAGGCACCCCCCGCCCAUUUCCUGCCCCAGCCUCCUCCUGGCCACCUCUGCCUUUUGGUGGGACAAAGUUACGCUGUUAGAAUCCAGGCAGGGUCUCUCUUCCACACUCCUGCUCAACUUCUCCUCUGGACCACUCCCUUCUUACUCAGGAUCUCUCUUCUCCUGUGAUCUUCUCCACUCCACAUUCUGGCCUUAUCCAUAUGACCCAAAUAUUCUGGAAGGGGUUCUGCUUGGGCAUUUAGGCCCUGGGAUGAGACUCCCAUCAUGCUCGGAAGCUUCCAAGCCUUCCAAUUUUGUUUGCUGGUCUUUCUCUUUCUUUCUUUCUUUCUUUCUUUCUUUCUUUCUUUCUUUCUUUCUUUUUCUCUUUCUUUCUUUCUUUCUUUCUUUCCUUCCUUCCUUCCUUCCUUCCUUCCUUCCUUCCUUCCUUCCUUCCUUCCUUCCUUCCUUCCUUUCUUUCUUUCUUUCUUUCUUUCUUUCUUUCUUUCUUAAUGGAAAGUAGAUAGGGAGAGCAGGACAAACCUGCCCUUACAGGCUCUGCUGUCUGUCCUCGGCUCCCCUGCCCUAUCCCAUCUCCAACAAUAUGGUCCUGAUGGAACCAUUAAGGGUCAGGCUUGGAUCCUUGCAAUCCAGCCCACGGAAGUGAACGGUGUGGGUCCCUACCGGUGGGAAGCCCCCCUGCUGAGUGAGGAGAGGUGACUGCCCUUGCUGCAGUCCCAGCUCUGACCUUCAGCUGCCCCUCAGCAGCCUCCCAUCUCCACAUGGCCGGCCCCAGAAGGCAGUGAACUCCCUCAGGGGCUGAGGUAGUCACUGAGCUAUGUUCUGGCUUGCCCUCCCCUUUUGACUGAGGGAGGUACACCAAGAGCUGGCACCCAGCUCCCCAGCUUCCCAAAUGGGCACCAAUAUGGCUCCCCCACUGGCAUUGUACUGUCCUGCUCAGUGUCUUCACAAGGCUCUUGGACUGUUCCCCAGGGACGUGAGGCUGGAAACCCAGUGAGAGACUGAAAGAAACCAGCCACCCCCAGGGCCGGCCAUGCCAACGAGGGCAGACGUCAAGAUGUCUCCAUCAAGGCUCCGGGGACUCUGGUUCCAUAUGUGAUCCACCCACCCAGUGUUUAUAUGACUGCCUCACCCACUAGACUGCCAGUCCUGUGUGGGCAGGCUUGGGUCACUGUUGGGUUCUCUGUACCUACAGUACGUUGUUUCCCCCAAAGAGUGUAUGCUGGACAAAGAAAUAGACGAAUGAGCCAGUCCCCUUUCCCUUUAUUCUUUGACCUGCUUUGUGUCAUCCUUACUCACUCAGGCCCAAGUAGGAAGCUCUCUACUCAGAACCCGAGAUGAGUCUUUUUGUCUUGUUUUGUUUUUGAGUCUUUUUGUUUUGUUUUUGUGGUGCUAGGGGGAUUGAACCUUGGUCCUGGGGCUAUACCUUCCAACACCACAAGGCCCUUUUUGAAAACCACACUGAGUUGCCAUGAUGUCACUGAGCUCUCGCUGCAGCCUGG
Molecule: long non-coding RNA, 2042 nt
Organism: Meriones unguiculatus (Mongolian gerbil)
Lineage: Eukaryota; Metazoa; Chordata; Mammalia; Rodentia; Muridae
Source: Ensembl